This 429-nucleotide ribosomal RNA is filed under the name Verrucomicrobiota bacterium. Its description in RNAcentral is "Verrucomicrobia bacterium partial 16S ribosomal RNA". It matches the Rfam family "Bacterial small subunit ribosomal RNA", at positions 355 to 776 of the family's 1533-position model. Lineage: Bacteria; Pseudomonadati; Verrucomicrobiota. The record is from RNAcentral.
UAGGGAAUCUUCCGCAAUGGACGAAAGUCUGACGGAGCAACGCCGCGUGAGUGAAGAAGGAUUUCGGUUCGUAAAACUCUGUUGUUAGGGAAGAAAAAAUGUAUAGUAACUAUAUACAAAAGAGACGGUACCUAACCAGAAAGCCACGGCUAACUACGUGCCAGCAGCCGCGGUAAUACGUAGGUGGCAAGCGUUGUCCGGAAUUAUUGGGCGUAAAGCGCGCGCAGGUGGUUUAGAAAGUCUGAUGUGAAAGCCCACGGCUCAACCGUGGAGGGUCAUUGGAAACUAAUAAACUUGGGUGCAGGAGAGAAAAGUGGAAUUCCUAGUGUAGCGGUGAAAUGCGUAGAGAUUAGGAGGAACACCGGUGGCGAAAGCGGCUUUUUGGCCUGCAACUGACACUGAGGCGCGAAAGCGUGGGGAGCAAACAGG